Molecule: long non-coding RNA, 1051 nt
Filed under: Cyanistes caeruleus (blue tit)
Lineage: Eukaryota; Metazoa; Chordata; Aves; Passeriformes; Paridae
Description: lncRNA (ENSCCEG00000001815.1)
Source: RNAcentral
GAAAAGGGGAAUUUCGGGAAGGGAAAAAGGGAAUUUUGGGGUAAAAAGUGGAGUUUUGAGGCGAAGGCGGGAAUUCGGGGUCGGGAAUUCGGGAGGUUCCGGGCUUUGGGAAUUCGGGGAUUUCGGGAAUUCCGGGAAAUCAGGAAUUGGGGAAUUCUGGGAUUUCAGGGAAUUCUGGGAUUUCAGGGGUUUGGGAAUUCCGAGAAUCAGGAAUUUGGGAUUUCAGGGAAUUCAGGAUUUUGGGAAUUCCGGGAAAUCAGGAAUUGGGGAAUUUGGGAUUUCAGGGAUUCGGGGAUUUCAGGGGAAUCAGGAAUUGGGGAUUUUGGGAAUUUUGGGAUUUCAGGAUUUUGGGAUUUCAGGAAUUUGGGAAUUCCAGGAUUCAGGAAUUUGGGGUGUCACUGACCAUCGAACCAGUCGAUGGCCGCCUUGGCCGAGGGGGGAUUGGGGAAUCAGGAAUUCAGGAAUUGGGGAUCUCAGGAUUCGGGGAUUUCAGGGAUUCAGGAAUUGGGGAUUUUGGGAUUUCAGGAAUUUGGGAUUUCAGGGAUUCAGGAAUUUUGGGAAUUUCAGGAUUUUGCUGACCAUCGAACCAGUCGAUGGCCGCCUUGGCCGAGGGGGGGUCGGGGAUCUCAGGGAUUCAGGAAUUUGGGAUUUCAGGGAUUCAGGAAUUGGGAAUUUUGGGAUUUCAGGAAUUUGGGAUUUCAGGAAUUCCGGGAUUUUGGGAAUUUGGGGUGUCACUGACCAUCGAACCAGUCGAUGGCCGCCUUGGCCGAGGGGGGGUCGUCGAAGCUGACGGUGGCCUCGCCCUUGAGCUUGCCGGUCUCACGGUCGGUGUAGAGAUUGAUCAUGGGCUGGCCCGUCUUCUUGUUGGUCUGGGGAGAGAGUGACCAACUGACCAACUGACCACUGACCACUGAGUGACCACUGACCCAUCACUGACCCAUCACUGACCCACCCUGAGUGACCCCUGAGUGACCAUCAACCCACCCUGAGUGACCACUGACCCACCCUGACCCCACACCCACACACUGAUCAUGGGCUGGCCCGUCUUCUU